Egretta garzetta (little egret) is the source of this 1140-nucleotide long non-coding RNA. RefSeq lists it as uncharacterized. The record is from RefSeq and is a predicted model, not a curated record. The transcript is spliced from 5 exons. NCBI's taxonomy places the organism in Eukaryota, Metazoa, Chordata, Aves, Pelecaniformes, Ardeidae.
AGCCAUCUCUUCUCUGUGUUGUCCCUCCAGGAGAUAUUAGGGUGGUUGAAGUCCCCUGUGAGGACGAGGGCUGUGAAUGUGAGGCUCAUGGUCUGCAUGAGUUUAGGUGUAGGUACUGAUAAUGUGCUCCACACUGCUGCAUGAAACGGGUAUAUGUCCACCUGGCGUUCUUGUCAAUUGUGUCUCUUCAGGCAUUGAGAGUGGUAAGAAUGAGGACUUAAGGGAGAAAUAACUGCCAUUCCUUUAUUUCCUCCUGCAGCUCCUUUGACUUCUUACUUGCCGUUUCUUGGUGGUUUCUAAUUCCCCUUAUUUGUUGUGUUUUUCCCUGUGCAGGAAGGAUGAGGAGGACAAAAAGAACUCCAUCACCAUCUUCUCAUUUUGUAUUGCACUUCAAAAUCUUUGCAUAUCAAACACUCUUCAUCUUCUGCUGGCAGUUCCUUAGGAUGGAAAAUCAUACGGCAAACUGCAACUGAGUUGAGGUAUCUCCUCCCUCCUACUCUCUUUGGAAGCGCCCUUGUCAUGUCCCAGAUGAAUGUGAAGUGCCUCAGCCUCCACCAGCAAACCUAGGAUGAUAAUGGUGCAGCUUCUGAGGCAGAGAAAUGUCUUCUAGCAGUCAGAAACCCAGUGAAGGACUCACUGAAGGAAACUGCCUCAAAUCCUGGAUUCCUGCAAAUUAGGAAGUGUGAACAAGGAAAAGACCUAUAGGUACCAGUUGUUCACACAUCAGUACGACAAUCAACACAGAACAGCCGUUUUGAAGUGAAGUGCUGCUGCUUCUGUGAGGCUGCGACUCCAGCCCCAGUGCCUUGGAAGUAACGCUGCCUUCAGCAGCCUGCCCGUGCUGCUCUUUGGGCCCAGCCACACCUUUGUGGCUCCAGUUGCAUUCAGUCAUCAGAGGCUAAAUCUGAUGCUGCUUCAGAUCCUGUCCUCUAUUAUAGUGAAGUUCUUACACCUUUAAGGAAAGCAUCAAUAAUCCUCCAGCUGAAGUAGCUGCAAUCUAUGCCCAAAUGCUUCUUACAGAUGCCAGAAAAGGGAUCGUCACAUAAAUUUGAGUUGAACUCCAGAAGGUUUAAAGAAGUUGCAGAACAGUAGGUAAGGGAUCUUUCUUUCUCCCUUUUAAUAAAAUCAAAUUCAACUCGG